Oryza brachyantha (malo sina) is the source of this 2844-nucleotide long non-coding RNA. RefSeq lists it as uncharacterized. NCBI's taxonomy places the organism in Eukaryota, Viridiplantae, Streptophyta, Magnoliopsida, Poales, Poaceae. The record is from RefSeq and is a predicted model, not a curated record. The transcript has 6 exons.
UUCCCCGGCCCUUGAUGCGGCGCGGCGAAGACCAAGCGACGGCGCAGCGGUGACAGGGUGAGGGGUGGCAGCCGAGCCAGGCGCGCGAAGCUGAGCCCUAGCGCGGCGGCAGCGCGUCCGUCUGCGCGCGGCUGAGGCCGGGGUGGCGGCGGGAGCUGAGGCCGGGGCGCACGACGGAUCUGAGGGCCGGUCGUGGAGAAGGGCCGGCGGAGGCUGAGGCCAGCGCGCUGAGGGCCGGCGGCUGAGGCGGGCGCGGGCGGAGCCGGUGCCCCAGGGGCGCAGCGGCGGGACUGAGGCCGAGGUGCGCAGCGUCGGCGACGGCCGGGGCGUGACGGCGGCGGCUGAAAAUAGGGCGGUUCCCCACCUCGGUUCUCCUCCUCGGCGCAGCAAAGACCGCAGCGAGGCGAGCCUCACCCUUGCGCGGCGAUCUGAAGCAAGCGCAAGGGUGAGCUCCGGCGAGCUGAUGCCAACAACACGGUUUUAUCAAGCCGGUGGGGAUGAUUGAGAAUGGAAUUCACUCCCUCCAACGCCACGCCUCUGACGAUGGGUAAAUUGGAAGAUUUACCAUAGGCAUCUCUUGAUUGUAUCAGUCUUGGCCACUUGAAGGGCAAUUGCUUUUUUGACAGUAGAUGCUUUCAUGCGUCAAUGGGAUUUAAGGAUUGAACUGAUUGGCACGCCCGCGCAUCUUCUAAAAAUUUAGGUCCUGCACCAGAGCGUUCUAAGAAGUGACUCCCAAGCCUUUGUGUGUGACAUGUCAUCGGGUCAUCUUUUAACGUCAUCAGACACCCAACACCAACCAUGCAACAAAGGUCAAACUUUUUUUUGCAAUCUAAUCCAAUCGAGAAGAGAGAGAAGGCUCACGGAGAUGAUGUCGUCGCCAUAGGUGAUGUCAUAGAGUCAGGCGACAGUUGGAGGAUGUGGGGCCCACCUAUCAGAGGGUGCCACCGGUGAGUGAAGAGCCGAUCUUGUCAUACGCGAGGAGGAGCAAUGGAGCAACAGGUACCUUUGAGGGGGCGAUGAGCUUGAGAGGGUACUUGGCGAAGCAUCUAGUCACCGUAGACUUGCCCCUACCUUCUCUGCCCGCACCAUGCCUGUCGCUGUCGGCGCCAUUGUUGCCUCCGCCUGUGCCUUCGUUUUUUGGGCUCUUUGCGAGAACGAGUCGACGAGAACGAAUUGAUUUACAAAGUAUGCCAUAGUAAAAUUUAUCAAACCUACACAAAAGGACCUAAUAUUAUUUUUUCAUUUCAAGGAUAAACCAAGAUAUCAGGGGGCUGUAUUUAUGAGCUAGUUAAUAACUUAAUCCAUCCUCACUGGAAUCCACAUAAGAAAGAAAUUCUCAUAGUUGAUCACAUCCAAAAUCAUUAGUAAUUGUUUUUUGUUUUCAAAUCAAGAUUGGAGUAAGGAUAGCGAGCAGUUAGAUAACAUAAAUAGUAGGGUGGCAUAAACCGAAAACAAAUAUUGGUUAUAGAAAGAAAUUGACAUUAGCAAUAGUAGUGGUACAUUUUGUUCUCCUUUUAAUUCAUGAUAAAAGUUCUGUUGCUAGAACCAUGCAGUUGUAGGUGUACAUGUGAUCAUUUCAGACUUGUACGUGUACAUGUGAUCAUUUCAUACUUUGAUAGAGUAUUUUAUGGACAAAUAGCAACUCUUUCUAUUGCUUGGAAGUCGAUACUAUUUGGAUGCACAAAAAAAUGUAAUAUUUGAUCAUCUUUUGGUAGUGGUCAUGACUGACACAUUUAUUUGUCAAAUUUUGAUAUUGCAAUUUUUUUUAGUGCAACGCUUGCUAAACUACCUAUCAACAUAGAGUGUGUGUUGGUGACCAUUAGGCACUACUUGACCAGAACAUGCAUUGCCAUUGCCAUCACCAUCACUAGUACUAGAUUGUUUCGUCCUUGGUUUAAACUUGGAUGGACCAACUGAAUUUUCUGUGUUCAGCAAAGCACUUGAACCAGACCCUAAGUUAUCCUAUGUGAAUCUUGUAGUUAGCAUACGCCCAACAAAUAGGUCUGCGACAUCGAUAUCUCCUUCAUACUGCAAAAGAGGGUAAACGUGGUUGAUUGUCUCGAUCUCUUCGACUCGUUCUCGAAAACUGGAGGCGGAGACGGAGGCAACAAUGGCACCGGCGGCGACAGGCGUGGUGCGGGUGGAGAAGGUGGGGGACAGGUCUGUGGUGACAAGGUGCUUCGCCAAAUACCCUCUCAAAUUCAUUACCCCCUCUAAGGUGGGCUUGGCAUCCUCCGGUGCCGCCUGGCUCUACACCAUCACCUACGGUGGCGGCAUUGUCUCUGGGGACGUCAUCUCUUGCGUGGUGGACAUCGGCGACGGGUGUACGACGGCGAUGACCACACAGGCCUCUACCAAGGUCAUUUUCUUUCCGUUGUUCUUUGCAUGUGUUUGCUCGAGUAAACAUUCUAUAUUUUGGUUUCUUUAUGUAAUGGAAAUGAGGAAAGUACGACAUUUGCUUCAGAAGAAGCCGUAGUCAACUACAAUCAAAGUACGUAGCCAAUAAUAUUGUGCAUAGACUCUAUGCAUUUCGUUAAUUGGCAAAAUUGAUAUAUAAGUUAGUGAACGAAUGUUCGGGCAUAAUCUAUAGUCAAUAUCGGAAUGUUGUACUCGUAAAACUUCGACCGAAAUUUGGUAAGGCCUCUAACCAAACAACACUGAACCGUACUUUCCCUUUACAAAAUUUGGCACUACUAGAGUCUGGUAGGGUUCUUUUUAGGGUUAGAAGUAAACAAGCCCUAAUGUCUCUUUCUGUUUUCAUGCACAUUGUAGAUGCCCAAACUUCGAGUAGCACAUUGCAAUAAUAUGGUGUUGCGCUUUGUGCGUCUUUGACACAUCAGCUAG